GGCCUCGUAGCUCAAUUGGGUACAGCGUUGCCUAUAUUAAAACCUUCCCCUUGUUGGCGUGGGUUCGAAUCCCACCGAGGCCG
RNAcentral lists this transfer RNA (83 nucleotides) under Schistocephalus solidus. It matches the Rfam family "tRNA". From Rfam's summary of the family: Transfer RNA (tRNA) molecules are approximately 80 nucleotides in length. Their secondary structure includes four short double-helical elements and three loops (D, anti-codon, and T loops). Lineage: Eukaryota; Metazoa; Platyhelminthes; Cestoda; Diphyllobothriidea; Diphyllobothriidae. The record is from Rfam by way of RNAcentral.